UGACUCCUCAUGCUUGGACUUUAGGGAGCCCGCUGGCCAAUGGUGCGUCGACACGACGGCGCGCGUUGCCCUCCGAGGUACUCCUAAAAUGCGGCGAAACGCCGAGGCGAGGCCUCCCUCUCUCCAGUCAGAGGCAGCGGCCGGGAGCCAGCCAAAUGGCGACGCGCGCCGGCCACUCCGUUCGUCCUACCUGCGCGCACACCGCAUGCCUCCAGACGUCGCCAGCCCAGUGAGCCGACGUGCGUGCAAGGCCGGCAAGGCAUGGCCGCGAGCGCACCCCGCUGCCGGCGCCGGCGGUGACCGACACUAGUUAGAGGCCGGCAGGAUGGGGCGUACGUGGGCGCCUGAACCUUCAUCUGCGAUGCACGCAGGCAGCUAGCUUGCAAUACAAACCGGCAUACUAAUGCUACGGAAUAAGUUGGACAGUUCUCAGAAAAAUGGAAAAGGAACCCACUUGCCACUGGCCUACUAAAACAAAAUUCCUCACAAGGAUUUCAUUAUCGUUGGCACAAGGAAACUCCCGAGUUUCACAUAUUGCAACAGUUUCAAGUGCAAUGCUGUCGGAAUGAAGACACCAAUUCUAGAGACGAGUAAAGCCACAAUUAUAUGUACCAUUGAGAUGAUGGAUUUUGAUGAUUUUGGGCAUGUUUGUGGUGGUUAGGCAUGUUAAAUUCAUUGAAGUGACAUAGUAGAAAGGACUGAAUGCUAAACAACCUUCAUCUUUAUUUGUGAGGAAUAACUAAAUGUUUAGUUAGUCACGUUUCAGACGACUCAAAGUAAUGUUAGUGUUUUUCUAGACGACUCAAAGUAUACUGUGUAAAGGGAUCAUGAAUAUUUGCGAAUGAACAUUCAGUUUUAGGGUA
This is a long non-coding RNA of Hordeum vulgare subsp. vulgare (domesticated barley), 863 nucleotides long. RefSeq lists it as uncharacterized. Lineage: Eukaryota; Viridiplantae; Streptophyta; Magnoliopsida; Poales; Poaceae. The transcript has 4 exons. The record is from RefSeq and is a predicted model, not a curated record.